GACGAACGCUGGCGGCGUGCCUAAUACGUGCAAGUCGAACGCUUCUUUUUCCACCGGAGCUUGCUCCACCGGAAAAAGAGGAGUGGCGAACGGGUGAGUAACACGUGGGUAACCUGCCCAUCAGAAGGGGAUAACACUUGGAAACAGGUGCUAAUACCGUAUAACAAUCAAAACCGCAUGGUUUUGAUUUGAAAGGCGCUUUCGGGUGUCGCUGAUGGAUGGACCCGCGGUGCAUUAGCUAGUUGGUGAGGUAACGGCUCACCAAGGCCACGAUGCAUGGCCGACCUGAGAGGGUGAUCGGCCACAUUGGGACUGAGACACGGCCCAAACUCCUACGGGAGGCAGCAGUAGGGAAUCUUCGGCAAUGGACGAAAGUCUGACCGAGCAACGCCGCGUGAGUGAAGAAGGUUUUCGGAUCGUAAAACUCUGUUGUUAGAGAAGAACAAGGAUGAGAGUAACUGUUCAUCCCUUGACGGUAUCUAACCAGAAAGCCACGGCUAACUACGUGCCAGCAGCCGCCGUAA
Molecule: ribosomal RNA, 524 nt
Filed under: uncultured bacterium
Lineage: Bacteria
Description: partial 16S ribosomal RNA
Rfam family: Bacterial small subunit ribosomal RNA
Source: RNAcentral